RNAcentral lists this long non-coding RNA (597 nucleotides) under Homo sapiens (human). RNAcentral's name for it is "non-protein coding lnc-UTP11-1:3". Lineage: Eukaryota; Metazoa; Chordata; Mammalia; Primates; Hominidae. The record is from RNAcentral.
GUGUGGGCCCCGCUUUCCCCCAGCGCUGGAGACUCCGAGCCCGGCCGGUCCCACAUUCCACGCGAGCUGAAUUCCCGCCCGCAUCCCGCCCGGGCAGCAGGGAUUGCCGGCUCCGGGAGGCGCUCGGGCUCCGAGAAGCGGCUCAGCCCCGCGCCCCUCCCUCCUCAGUACCGCUGCCGGCGGACCAGGAUUCCCGCGGGUCCUGGCGGCUGCGAGCGCGAGGCGGCGCGGAUUCGCGGCUCGGUUCCGGCGCGACUGCUCACCGCGCCCGCCUCGCCUCCCGCGGCUGCCAGCGUGCACUGGGCGCUCCUCGGCGCGUCUGCCCGGCCCGUCUCGGCUUUCCUUCUCCUUCCUCUAGUCCCAGCGUCACAACUCCGCCGACCUCCUCUGCCCUGAGAGCGCGUCCGGUGCGGGCGGAGUCGGACGGACUCUGGCUUCACGCCUCGCGCGGGCACACCUUCUCCCGGGCACUGAGGCCCAGUUGUGUAUCGAGCUGGGGGAUGUAAAGGGAGGAGAAGAAAGAAGAUGAAGAGAUACCAGCCAGCCUUAAGGAGUGGACAUCCUGCCUGGUGAAACUGAACAAGACACCUACCGCAU